This 446-nucleotide ribosomal RNA is filed under the name uncultured bacterium. RNAcentral's name for it is "partial 16S ribosomal RNA". It matches the Rfam family "Bacterial small subunit ribosomal RNA", at positions 338 to 795 of the family's 1533-position model. The record is from RNAcentral.
CCUACGGGCGGCAGCAGUCGAGAAUCAUUCACAAUGGGGGAAACCCUGAUGGUGCGACGCCGCGUGGGGGAAUGAAGGUCUUCGGAUUGUAAACCCCUGUCAUGUGGGAGCAAAUUAAAAAGAUAGUACCACAAGAGGAAGAGACGGCUAACUCUGUGCCAGCAGCCGCGGGAAUACAGAGGUCUCAAGCGUUGUUCGGAAUCACUGGGCGUAAAGCGUGCGUAGGCUGUUUCGUAAGUCGUGUGUGAAAGGCGCGGGCUCAACCCGCGGACGGCACAUGAUACUGCGAGACUAGAGUAAUGGAGGGGGAACCGGAAUUCUCGGUGUAGCAGUGAAAUGCGUAGAUAUCGAGAGGAACACUCGUGGCGAAGGCGGGUUCCUGGACAUUAACUGACGCUGAGGCACGAAGGCCAGGGGAGCGAAAGGGAUUAGAUACCCGAGUAGUC